This 253-nucleotide ribosomal RNA is filed under the name uncultured bacterium. Its description in RNAcentral is "partial 16S ribosomal RNA". It matches the Rfam family "Bacterial small subunit ribosomal RNA", at positions 524 to 776 of the family's 1533-position model. The record is from RNAcentral.
UACGUAGGGUGCGAGCGUUAUCCGGAUUUAUUGGGUUUAAAGGGUGCGUAGGUGGAUUAAUAAGUCAGUGGUGAAAGCCCGAAGCUCAACUUCGGAACUGCCAUUGAUACUGUUAAUCUUGAGUACAGUUGAGGUAGGCGGAAUGUGUCAUGUAGCGGUGAAAUGCUUAGAUAUGACACAGAACACCGAUUGCGAAGGCAGCUCACUAAGCUGUAACUGACACUGAGGCACGAAAGCGUGGGUAGCAAACAGG